Molecule: long non-coding RNA, 637 nt
Filed under: Callithrix jacchus (white-tufted-ear marmoset)
Lineage: Eukaryota; Metazoa; Chordata; Mammalia; Primates; Cebidae
Description: lncRNA (ENSCJAG00000076043.1)
Source: RNAcentral
AUUUCAACCCAAUUGGAUUAAAUAAGGAUUUAAUCCAAUCUUUAUGUAUUUUAUUUAUUGAUUCAUUUAUUUAUUUUUUCCUUCCAGAUUACCCUUACGAGAAUUUCCAGUACAAUGAUAAAUAGGAGUGAUGACAGCAGUCAUCCUUGCCUUAUUCCCUACAGCAAAGUAGGGGGAAAGCUUUCAGUCUUUCAUCAUUAAGUAUGGCGUCAGCUUUAGGUUUUUCGUGACUUUCUUUUAUCAGGGCAAGGAAGUUUCUUUUUAUUUCUUAUUUGUUGAUAGUUUUCUUUUAAAUUCACAGAUGGAUCUUAGAUUUUGUCAAGUGAUGUUCAUGCAUUUAUUUAUUUAUUUUUUAAGAGAUGGGGUCUCUCUAUGUUGCCCAGGCUGGAGUGCAGUGGCUAUUCACAGGUGCGAUCCCACUACUGAUCAGCACGGGAGUUUUGACCUGCUCCGUUUCCCACCUGGGCUAAUUUUUGUAUUUUUUAGUAGAGACGAGGGUUUCACCAUGUUGGCCAGGCUGGUCUUGAAUUCCUCACCUCAGGUGAUCCAUCCACCUUGGCCUUCAAUCCCAGAUUCUGAACACUUUAGUCUUUUCCUUUACAUUUCCAGUGCAAUCACCCAGGCCUAACACAUUUUU